AGGGGGCAGGGUGGAUGAGGUAAUACCAGGUUGCGACAGGUCCACACGACUAGCUCAGUCAACGAGACCACCUGCUCAAAUGCAAUCUGUGUGUAUGACACUGUGCGAUGUGCAGAAGGAACUUCCGUGACUUCGUGGGCCUUAAGGAAUGGAGCCAUCGGAGGAAACCAACCGAACAAAGUGCUUGAACAAUUCAUGUGACUAACAAAUGCACUCGUUGAAUAUUUCUUGCACUCAUGUAUUCAAAAAUAUUUAUAGAGUGGGCACCUUGGCCAUAUUUUUUUCUAAGUACUGAACUUAGCAAGGUAAGAGUCAUAUUUGACAUGGGCAGAAGAGUUUCCAGGGAAAAGAGGUGCCUGGCCGGAACAGUUUCAAGAGGAAAAUGGAGAAGAGAAACAAGAGAUGGGAAGAUGGCACAAAGUCUUUCAAGGGGUUUUAUUU
RNAcentral lists this long non-coding RNA (441 nucleotides) under Homo sapiens (human). RNAcentral's name for it is "long non-coding RNA NONHSAT156482.1". Lineage: Eukaryota; Metazoa; Chordata; Mammalia; Primates; Hominidae. The record is from RNAcentral.